This 376-nucleotide ribosomal RNA is filed under the name Laodicea sp. USNM IZ 1448242. Its description in RNAcentral is "SSU rRNA". It matches the Rfam family "Eukaryotic small subunit ribosomal RNA", at positions 51 to 414 of the family's 1831-position model. Lineage: Eukaryota; Metazoa; Cnidaria; Hydrozoa; Leptothecata; Laodiceidae. The record is from RNAcentral.
AUGCAUGUCUAAGUAUCAGCACUCGUACUGUGAAACUGCGAAUGGCUCAUUAAAUCAGUUAUCGUUUAUUUGAUUGUACCUUACUACAUGGAUAUCUGUGGUAAUUCUAGAGCUAAUACAUGCGAAAAGUCCCGACUGACUCUGUCUUGGAAGGGAUGUAUUUAUUAGAGUAAAAACCAAUGCGAGUCCUUGCGGCUCGUCUUCUUGGUGAUUCAUGAUAACUUUUCGAAUCGCAUGGCCUAGCGCCGGCGAUGUUUCAUUCAAAUUUCUGCCCUAUCAACUGUCGAUGGUAAGGUAGUGGCUUACCAUGGUUGCAACGGGUGACGGAGAAUUAGGGUUCGAUUCCGGAGAGGGAGCCUGAGAAACGGCUACCACA